RNAcentral lists this small nucleolar RNA (106 nucleotides) under Lupinus albus (white lupine). Its description in RNAcentral is "Plant small nucleolar RNA R71". It matches the Rfam family "Plant small nucleolar RNA R71". From Rfam's summary of the family: R71 is a member of the C/D box family of snoRNAs containing the C (UGAUGA) and D (CUGA) box motifs. Lineage: Eukaryota; Viridiplantae; Streptophyta; Magnoliopsida; Fabales; Fabaceae. The record is from Rfam by way of RNAcentral.
AAACCAUGAUUAGGACAUUUUCUCAGCAACACCUGGAAACGCUCCCAAGCUUCAUAAAAGGCUUCAUCAGCACCUUGUCGGAAUGUUGAUAUUUCGAACUUUGCAU